RNAcentral lists this long non-coding RNA (256 nucleotides) under Coturnix japonica (Japanese quail). RNAcentral describes it as "lncRNA (ENSCJPG00005006773.1)". The record is from RNAcentral. Lineage: Eukaryota; Metazoa; Chordata; Aves; Galliformes; Phasianidae.
CUCCAGUUGACCCAGUGAUUUACAAGAGCAUACAGCAUGGAUAAAAAAGAAGUGUGUGUUAUGUUUUUUGACUAAAACCCACAAAAUCUGCAAGAUUUCUUUUAAGCAGCUCCUCGGGCAAAAACAGAAAAUGUCAAGACUGAAGAUGUGCCGAGACUCAUGACCAGAAGGUUUUCAAACCAGAAGGCAGAAAAAGAUCCCUCUGUGGUUGAAGGAGCAGAAUAAAUUGCACAUGUCUCAGCCUUUAGAGCUUUGG